AUAUGAAACAAUAUUGUAUGAACACAGAGUCUUCUACACUGAAUUACAAAGUCUUACGGUGUGUUUGGUUCGAAGUCGGAAUCGGUAUCGAAAUCGGAAUGAGGAUAAGUUAGAAACGAAAUUGAAAUAAUUCAUUACCUCAUAUUGUUUGAUUUGUCAUCCGAAUCAGAAUCGGUAUGAAUCAUUCUCAUUGUCGGUAUUUGGUUCAUAUAGAUAUCAUAAAUAUAAUCAAAUUAAUAUGCAAAUUUUAUCUUUAUAAUAUAUUAGUUUAAAUUCAAACUGAAUUAAAUAUUAAAAAUUUACGUCAAAAUUUUAAAACAAUGUUAAAAUUUCAAAUAUACUUUUUAAAAAAAUUAAAAUUUGAAAUUGAAUGGAUAAUUAAAAAUAUAAAACUAAAUUUCAAUUUAUUCAAAUUCAAACUUAAAAUUAUAAUUCAAAUUUCAAUUUGAAUCCAUAAAUUUAAUUUAAAAUUUAAAAUAAAAUUUGAAUAAAACUUUAGAUUUUAAAUUAAAUUCAAAUUCAAAUUUAUCGAUUAGAUUCAAAAUACUUGAUUGAAUUUUAAUUUUUAAUUUAAGUUCAAAUUAAAAUUUAAAUGUAUAAAUAUAAUUUUUAAACUUAAACUUAUAUUUUAAUUAAAAAAUAAAUUAAAAAAAAUUAAAUUUAAUCAGAACAAAUCAAUUCCGACCGGAUUCAAUUGAUUUGAAAUCAGAAUCAGAAUGAAAAUUCCGCGUAUCGGACAUCGACAAACAAAUUUGUCUAUUC
RNAcentral lists this long non-coding RNA (762 nucleotides) under Ananas comosus (pineapple). Its description in RNAcentral is "long non-coding RNA (ACOM_LNC015869)". Lineage: Eukaryota; Viridiplantae; Streptophyta; Magnoliopsida; Poales; Bromeliaceae. The record is from RNAcentral.